RNAcentral lists this ribosomal RNA (827 nucleotides) under Lyngbya sp. UTEX LB 2516. RNAcentral describes it as "bacterial LSU rRNA". It matches the Rfam family "Bacterial large subunit ribosomal RNA", at positions 909 to 1748 of the family's 2925-position model. Lineage: Bacteria; Bacillati; Cyanobacteriota; Cyanophyceae; Oscillatoriales; Microcoleaceae. The record is from RNAcentral.
CACUGUUUCGGUGCGGGCUGCGAGAGCGGUACCAAAUCGAGACGAACUCUGAAUACCCUGUGUGAAACUAGGCAGUCAGACUGUGGGGGAUAAGCUCCAUGGUCGAAAGGGAAACAGCCCAGACCGCCAGCUAAGGUCCCCAAAUCAACGCUCAGUGAUAAAGGAGGUGGGAUUGCCCAGACAACCAGGAGGUUUGCCUAGAAGCAGCCAUCCUCAAAGGAGUGCGUAAUAGCUCACUGGUCGAGCGAUCCUGCGCCGAAAAUGAACGGGGCUAAGCGUUGUACCGAAGCUGCGGAUUUAACUUGUUAAAUGGUAGGGGAGCGUUCCAUGUGGGGCGAAGCGUUAGCGUAAGCGGGCGUGGACUUCAUGGAAGUGAGAAUGUCGGCUUGAGUAGCGAAAACAUGGGUGAGAAUCCCAUGCCCCGAAACCCUAAGGGUUCCUCCGGCAGGCUCGUCCGCGGAGGGUUAGUCAGGACCUAAGGCGAGGCCGAAAGGCGUAGUCGAUGGACAACAGGUCAACAUUCCUGUACCUGUCAUGUUUUGGGAAGGGGGACGGAGAAGGCUAGCCCAGCCAGAAGUUGGUUACUGGUUCAAGCGUUCGAGGCGUUGAGAAGUGGCGAAAACACUUUGAGCUGAGGCGUGAGUACGAGCUGCUACGGCAGCGAAGUGGGUGACGUCAAGCUUCCAAGAAAAGCCCUAUACCCGUUAAGGCAUGACGGCCUGUACCCGAAACCGACACAGGUGGGGUGGUAGAGAAUACCGAGGGGCGCGAGGUAACUCUCUCUAAGGAACUCGGCAAAAUGGCCCCGUAACUUCGGGGAGAAARGG